UACGGAGGGUGCGAGCAUUAAUCGGAUUUAUUGGGCGUAAAGGGCGCGUAGGCGGGCAAUUAAGUCAGAUGUGAAAUCCCGGGGCUCAACCCCGGAACAGCAUAUGAAACUGAUAGUCUAGAGGGUAGGCGGAGAAAAUGGAAUUCCACAAGUAGCGGUGAAAUGCGUAGAUAUGUGGAAGAACACCGGUGGCGAAGGCGGUUUUCUAGCUUAUACCUGACGCUAAAGCGCGAAAGCAAGGGGAUCAAACAGG
Molecule: ribosomal RNA, 253 nt
Filed under: uncultured bacterium
Lineage: Bacteria
Description: partial 16S ribosomal RNA
Rfam family: Bacterial small subunit ribosomal RNA
Source: RNAcentral